Molecule: ribosomal RNA, 441 nt
Filed under: uncultured bacterium
Lineage: Bacteria
Description: partial 16S ribosomal RNA
Rfam family: Bacterial small subunit ribosomal RNA
Source: RNAcentral
CUACGGGGGGCUGCAGUGGGGAAUAUUGGGCAAUGGGCGCAAGCCUGACCCAGCAACGCCGCGUGAGGGAAGAAGGUUUUCGGAUUGUAAACCUCCGUCCUUGGGGACGAAGAAGUGACGGUACCCAAGGAGGAAGCUCCGGCUAACUACGUGCCAGCAGCCGCGGUAAUACGUAGGGAGCAAGCGUUGUCCGGAAUUACUGGGCGUAAAGGGUGCGUAGGCGGCAUAUUAAGUCAGGUGUGAAAUACUCGGGCUCAACCCGGGGGCUGCAUUUGAAACUGAUAUGCUUGAGUGUGAGAGAGGAAAGUGGAAUUCCUAGUGUAGCGGUGGAAUGCGUAGAUAUUAGGAGGAACACCAGUGGCGAAGGCGACUUUCUGGCUCAUAACUGACGCUGAGGCACGAAAGCGUGGGGAGCAAACAGGAUUAGAUACCCUAGUAGUC